GGUCGAAUGGCGUAGUGGUAAGUGGCCCUGACUGCUACGCCGAAGGUCCCGGGUUCGAUCCCCGGCUGGGGCA
RNAcentral lists this transfer RNA (73 nucleotides) under Plutella xylostella (diamondback moth). Its description in RNAcentral is "tRNA-Ser". The record is from RNAcentral. Lineage: Eukaryota; Metazoa; Arthropoda; Insecta; Lepidoptera; Plutellidae.